This 978-nucleotide ribosomal RNA is filed under the name Conidiobolus globuliferus. RNAcentral describes it as "LSU rRNA". It matches the Rfam family "Eukaryotic large subunit ribosomal RNA", at positions 38 to 965 of the family's 3401-position model. The record is from RNAcentral. Lineage: Eukaryota; Fungi; Entomophthoromycota; Entomophthoromycetes; Entomophthorales; Conidiobolaceae.
GCAUAUCAAUAGCGGUGGAAAAGAAAAUAACCAUGAUUCCCUUUAGUAACGGCGAAGUGAAGUGGGAAGUGCUCAAAUUUAAAAUCCCUUUUUGGGAAUUGUAAUUUAUAGAAUAAAUGGUUAGUGAGCGAAGAUUAAAGUCUGCUGGAAAGCAUGCGCUAGAAAGGGUGAUAGCCCCGUUCAGUCUUUUAGCUUACUUCUAUACCAUUAUUUCAACGAGUCAGGUUGCUUGGGAAUGCAGCCUAAAUUUGGUGGUAAACUCCAUCUAAAGCUAAAUAUUGAUCAGUGACCGAUAGCAAACAAGUACCGUGAGGGAAAGAUGAAAAGAACCUUGAAAAGGGGGUUAAAAGUACGUGAAAUUGUUAUUAGGAAAGCACUUAGUCUCAUUGUGGAUUAAAUCAGUCUGUUUCGGCAGAUACUGUUUUAAUUAGUUAUGAUCAGUUAAAGUUGAUAAAGAAAAUUUUUGAUAAGGUAUUAGUGUAGUGCUAAACUUAAAGAUCAAUUAUUAUUUGUCGAUAUUGACUGAGGAAUGCUGCUUAAUCUUUUUGGGCUAUUAGUUUAUGGAGUUGGGUUAAACAACAUGUUGAUUAACUCAAUUAAAGUAAUCUAUUGGUUCUAAAACUUAAGCACAGGAUCAUAAUUAAAUGAUACUAAAUGACCCGUCUUGAAACACGGACCAAGGAGUCUAACAUGAUUGCGAGUUACAGGGUGAAAAACCUUUGAGCGCAAUGAAAGUGAUAAAGAUAGGAUAGGUAACACUUGCACUAUCAACCUAAACUGAUGAUUUUUUCUGACGUUUUAGAGUUAGAGCAGUCAUGUUGGGACCCGAAAGAUGGUGAGCUAUGCUUGAAUAGGGCAAAGCCAGAGGAAACUUCUGGUGGAGGCUCGUAGCGAUUUCUGACGUGCAAAUCGAUCGUCAAAUUUGAGCAUAGGGGGCGAAAGACUAAUCGAACCUUCUAAUGGCUGGUUCCUGCCGAU